RNAcentral lists this long non-coding RNA (500 nucleotides) under Salvia miltiorrhiza (redroot sage). RNAcentral describes it as "long non-coding RNA (SMIL_LNC010676)". Lineage: Eukaryota; Viridiplantae; Streptophyta; Magnoliopsida; Lamiales; Lamiaceae. The record is from RNAcentral.
UAAACAAAUGGAUAAUUUUGAAACAUUUGUUCACGAUAAUUAUUAUUUUUACUCACGAGAACUUAUAUUUUUAGUUAUUUUUUUCACGUAAUAUUGUCGUCAUAAAAAGUAAUUAUUGUUAUGAAGAAGUGUAAUAUUUUAAAAGUAUUACAUUUUUCACAAAAAUAUAUAUAAAAGGGAAAAAGAAAAACAAUAAAUAAAGAAAAUACCGAAAGGAUAAAAAAACCAAAAUAUAUAAAAUAAUGCAAAAGAAAAAUAGUAAAAUUAAAAAUUAUGCAAUAGAAAAACAGUAAAAAAAAAUACCGAAAAGAAAAAAAAUAUAUAUAAAAAAAAAAACAGGACAUGGAUCCGCCCCUGCGUAUGACUUGAUACCGAUAUUUAUAAAAGCUUUAUCUUUAGCAAAAAAAUGUGCUCAUACAAAACAGAUUUUUCAAAAUGUCCAUUACAUAUGCAAUGUUAUAUGGGAGAGUUUUUCUAAUAGUGUGAUCAGUUGCUAAUCA